UACAAGUUCAUAAAGUGGAGAUGUGGGAGAAGGAAUCCAAAUUCAACCUAAAAUUAAGCAGAUGUGAAGUAAAUCCCAAGGAAGAUUGAAGAGUGCAAGGAAAAAGGUAUAACCAUAAGGCAUAUGGGGAUGCUCAAGUUGUUAAGAGAUCAGAAGAUAUAUUAACAGAGAAAGUGUGAAGUCAUCAUACAAGAGUACUUCGUUGGUAAAUCAAGUUUGGUAUAGGCGGACUUGUUGAUUCCUCAGUUACUAGACAGAAGAAGGAAAUCAGAAAGUAAUAGAACAAGACUUGGAUAUGCGAAAUUUCAGUGAGAUUGAGUCGUUCAGAAGUUUUUGAAGAGUAUCUCAGAUAGAUAAGAAGGGUAUGGAAUACUGUAAGGGAAAUCAUUUCUGGAAUAAGUGUGUUUGUGUGUAUUUGAGAUUGGCACCCUUGGUCUGAAUCAUGUUAGCGUGAUUGAUCGUGCAUGUUCU
This 471-nucleotide long non-coding RNA is filed under the name Brassica napus (rape). RNAcentral describes it as "long non-coding RNA (BNAP_LNC013911)". The record is from RNAcentral. Lineage: Eukaryota; Viridiplantae; Streptophyta; Magnoliopsida; Brassicales; Brassicaceae.